GGGGGACGAAUUAAGACAUUGCCCAAACUCUCAACAUCUGGAAACUUCUCCAUCCUCCUCCAUAAAGUGAAUAAAUCUGAUCUGGGUCUGUACCGCUGUGAACUGUUUAAUGAAACCAACUGCAGCAUCGGUUAUCAGGAAAUCCAACUUGGUUCGUUUUUGCAUUUUCAUUCAUUUCAUGAAUUUCUUGUCUUCUUAAUGUGUUUGAGAGCAUUAGUUGUGUUUUCAAUUGACAAAAUAUGUGUUAAAUAUAUAUUUGAUAUAUUUUUUAAGUUAUUAUUUUUUUAUUCUGCAGGUCUUUCUACUGUUUGUCCUUAUUUCUACCAGACCUCCAUCAUAGCAGGAACAUCGGGAGGAGCAGUUCUUCUUCUGCUCAUAAUAUUACUCUUCUACAUCAGGAAAAAACGAACUGGGCGUUCGAGGACUGGAGGUGUUUGUGGAAAUAGACGUGAUCCUCCAAUAUAUGAGAAUAUUCCUGACAGAAUACAGCACAGCCAAAGCAGAGAGGGUAAAUAUCCACACACUUGUUUUUGUUUCAUUCAAAAUACAUUACUUCCAAAUACAUUACUUCCAAAUACAUUAUUAUGGACUGUAUGCUGAUAAUAUUCAAUUGAAAUUAGGGCUGGACGACAUUGGAAAAAAUUACAUUGUAAAUGUUCUUUUUUCGACUAUACAGCAUAUAUAUAUAUAUCACAAUAUUAAACAAUGCAGGGAAACAGAGAAAAACUGCAAAACAACAGUAAUCGUCCCUUUAAUCAGGCAUUUAAAAUGCUUUUUUAAGGUAUUUAAGAGCAUUUUUCUGGGAUUAAAAGUGUGAAUUCAGCUGUAAUGGAAAUAUCUGCAAAACUGUGCUGGACUGAGGAGCACAGCUUUCAACACGUGCGUUUACAAGAAUGUGCCCAACCAUGUGGAUGAAGGCCAUGCAGUUACCUCGUGUUUACUCCUGCCCCUCCCUCCUCGCGCUCCCCCUCCCCUUCGUGCUUCUCAGGCAGCAGCAGGCUGUCACUCACACAGACACAGAGACAGCGCUGUGUAUCUACUUCUUGUGUCAAGAAACAAUAUAUUGCAACAUGACCUGUUUGAUGUGUAUAAUUGCCUUAAGUAACAUCCCACAAUCUGACGAUGCUUAAACGACAUAUAAUGCAGCCCUAAUUUAAAUGCAUUAUAUUUACUUAGAUUUGCAAAUGCGCUCUUUUGGAUAACUUACACUGUAUGGACAAAAGUAAUGGGACACCUGCUCAUUCACUGUUUCUUCUGGAAUCAAGGAUAUUAGGAUUAGGAGGAUAUUAGGAUGUUGGAUGAUCACCACCCCACCACAUUUUGUCCCCAUCUUCACAACUCUAUAUAGGGCGAUUUAUAACCCUCUAGCCUGGUAUACAACUGGUAUUAGACAUCAGGGUGCCAGUAGGUUCAUGUUUACAGUAUCUACAUAUGUAAACAUAUGGACAGAGAGUGUAUACUAAUGCUGUAGACUAAAACUAUGAAAAUACUAAAAUAUGAUUAGGUUGUACAACAUAUUUUCGUCUGAUUUUUUAGGACGUACAUCUGAUCGUCCGAUCGACACAGUGUAUUCCACACUACAGCACUGCCAAAGCAAAGACGGUAAAUACCCACAGUUCUUUUUUUCCUUUUUUCUUCUCUACAGCAUUGAGAACAGAAAAAGUCGCAUUGUUUGAUCACCAGCUGCAGGUUGGAGAGCCAGUGGGCGUAAGCAAAGGACAGCAGAGGAUAUGUCAGUAUCAAUUUAGACUGAAUACUAAUACUUCUUAAUAUUUUGUUUUUCAGAAGUUGUGUAUGAAAAUGAAAUCUACACCAGGGGAAAGUUCUUGGAUAAGCCAGAGCAGCACACAGGAGACAACGUGUAAUGGGACUUCCAUACCAGUAUCACCAGUAUAACCAUCAGGGCACUGAUUCUCAGUCCCAGUCUUACUGAUAUACAGUAGUGUUGUGUGUCUGUCUAAAAGGGGAAUCAGAAACUUGUCUUUAAACCAUAUUAUCAACAAAUGUCCUAAGAACAUCUGGUGCACCAGAGCAUCGGAAAUGGGGCCUCAGGACUGAAAACCUCUGGAUUAGAAUGUACAGAAGUCUUAGAUUGACUUAGAUUGAAUUUAUACUUUUCUAUGAUAAAUGUGUAUUAUUAUGCAUUUUUACUUAAAAAAAUCAAAUUCAGCUUGUAAAUUAUGGUGUAAUGGCUCCCUCUACUGUCUAUAAGCCUUUUCUAGUAAAGAACUAUGGACUCCUUAUAGGUACUUCACUUUGUAUUACCGUACUCAUGUCUUGCUUCUGCAUAUGCCUGCUUUAUACACUCAUCACUGAGCAGCAUGGUGGCUUAGUCGUUCGUCUCCCAUCAUUGGAGUCUUGGGUUCAAAUCCCUAUCUGGUUCUCCUCGUGUUUCCUCCCACCGGAAAAUUGGGAUUAAUCACACUUGUGCUUUUUAGAACACAAGUUUUUAUAGUGGAUAAUAAAAUGUAAACAAUAGAAUUAAUGUAAGAGACA
RNAcentral lists this long non-coding RNA (2496 nucleotides) under Astyanax mexicanus (Mexican tetra). Its description in RNAcentral is "lncRNA (ENSAMXG00005005844.1)". Lineage: Eukaryota; Metazoa; Chordata; Actinopteri; Characiformes; Acestrorhamphidae. The record is from RNAcentral.